Molecule: ribosomal RNA, 187 nt
Filed under: uncultured rumen bacterium
Lineage: Bacteria
Description: partial 16S ribosomal RNA
Rfam family: Bacterial small subunit ribosomal RNA
Source: RNAcentral
UACGGGAGGCAGCAGUGAGGAAUAUUGGUCAAUGGUCGAGAGACUGAACCAGCCAAGUAGCGUGCAGGAUGACGGCCCUAUGGGUUGUAAACUGCUUUUAUGCGGGGAUAAAGUGCGGCACGUGUGCCGUUUUNUAAAGGNCGCAUGAAUAAGGACCGGCUAAUUCCGUGCCAGCAGCCGCGGUAAU